AACGAACGCUGGCGGCAUGCCUAACACAUGCAAGUCGAACGAGACCUUCGGGUCUAGUGGCGCACGGGUGCGUAACGCGUGGGAACCUGCCCUUAGGUUCGGCAUAACUCCCCGAAAGGGGUGCUAAUACCGGAUAAUGUCUUCGGACCAAAGAUUUAUCGCCUUUGGAUGGGCCCGCGUUGGAUUAGCUAGUUGGUAGGGUAAAAGCCUACCAAGGCGACGAUCCAUAGCUGGUCUGAGAGGAGGAUCAGCCACACCGGGACUGAGACACGGCCCAGACUCCUACGGGAGGGAGCAGUGGGGAAUGUUGGACGAUGGGCGAAGGCCUGAUGCAGCAAUGCCGCGUGAGUGAUGAAGGCCUUAGGGUUGUAAAGCUCUUUUACCCGGGAUGAUAAUGACAGUACCGGGAGAAUAAGCUCCGGCUAACUCCGUG
RNAcentral lists this ribosomal RNA (433 nucleotides) under uncultured bacterium. RNAcentral's name for it is "partial 16S ribosomal RNA". It matches the Rfam family "Bacterial small subunit ribosomal RNA", at positions 29 to 507 of the family's 1533-position model. The record is from RNAcentral.